UACGUAGGGUGCGAGCGUUAAUCGGAAUUACUGGGCGUAAAGCGUGCGCAGGCGGUUCGUUGUGUCUGUGGUGAAAGCCCCGGGCUUAACCUGGGAAUGGCCAUGGAAACUGGCGAGCUGGAGUGUGGCAGAGGGGGGUGGAAUUCCGCGUGUAGCAGUGAAAUGCGUAGAGAUCAUGAGGAAGACCAGUGGCGAAGGCGGGUCUCUGGACAGUUCCUGACACUGAGACACGAAGGCCAGGGGAGCAAACGGG
RNAcentral lists this ribosomal RNA (253 nucleotides) under uncultured bacterium. RNAcentral describes it as "partial 16S ribosomal RNA". It matches the Rfam family "Bacterial small subunit ribosomal RNA", at positions 524 to 776 of the family's 1533-position model. The record is from RNAcentral.